UCCUCCAACCCAAUAUUUUUAUCGGUGUAUUCACGGGUCAAGAUCCAGUUGUAAUAAAUUUGCAUUUGGGAAACCUCUACCCAAUUUUGAGGUAAGUGUUUGUCUUUUGUGUGUGUCCCUCCACGUGACCCUGUUCUUUUUCACUUUUCACCCUUUUCUUUCUUUUCCUUUCUCCAAUUCCAAGAGAACCUCUCUACCCUCUCUACCCUCUCUACUCUCUACUACCAUAGCACCACUACCACUCACCUUCCUUCAGAUCCCAUCUCACUCUAACCAAAAUCACUUUCCAUUCAUUAAUAACUCCACAAACAAAACUUUUUUCACUCUUCACCCACAUAACUAUGUCUCUCUUUCCUUUAACCAUUACCCUUCUUCCUCCUCCUACUCUUCCCCACAUCUACACAAACAUGCUCAUCAAUCAAUAACACAACAAAAUUACAACUGGAGAUGACGAACGAACGAAGUUGCGGAGAUGAAGAUCUGCGAUUACGAACGGCGAAGUUGCUGCUGUGCUACAAUCGAUCAAGUUUCUAUUUUUUAAUGCUGCUUCUGUGCGAUUCUUCUUCUAUUUUUUUUUUAAUUAUUAAUAAUAACAAAACGAAGUCGUUUUGGCCUUUUGGGCGAAAAAAAAACCACGCAUGUAAUAAAACCGGCGGUUCGAGAAAACCGGCGGUUC
RNAcentral lists this long non-coding RNA (676 nucleotides) under Trifolium pratense (red clover). Its description in RNAcentral is "long non-coding RNA (TPRA_LNC000835)". Lineage: Eukaryota; Viridiplantae; Streptophyta; Magnoliopsida; Fabales; Fabaceae. The record is from RNAcentral.